GACGAACGCUGGCGGCGUGCUUAACACAUGCAAGUCGAACGGAAAGGCCCUGCUUUUGUGGGGUGCUCGAGUGGCGAACGGGUGAGUAACACGUGAGUAACCUGCCCUUGACUUUGGGAUAACUUCAGGAAACUGGGGCUAAUACCGGAUAGGAGCUCCUGCUGCAUGGUGGGGGUUGGAAAGUUUCGGCGGUUGGGGAUGGACUCGCGGCUUAUCAGCUUGUUGGUGGGGUAGUGGCUUACCAAGGCUUUGACGGGUAGCCGGCCUGAGAGGGUGACCGGCCACACUGGGACUGAGAUACGGCCCAGCCUCCUCCGGGAGGCAGCAGUGGGGAAUAUUGCACAAUGGGCGGAAGCCUGAUGCAGCAACGCCGCGUGCGGGAUGACGGCCUUCGGGUUGUAAACCGCUUUCGCCUGUGACGAAGCGUGAGUGACGGUAAUGGGUAAAGAAGCACCGGCUAACUACGUG
RNAcentral lists this ribosomal RNA (468 nucleotides) under uncultured bacterium. RNAcentral describes it as "partial 16S ribosomal RNA". It matches the Rfam family "Bacterial small subunit ribosomal RNA", at positions 28 to 507 of the family's 1533-position model. The record is from RNAcentral.